UAUGAGUACAAAAGUGUUCAUAAUAAUAUCAGAUCAUACAUCAAGCUGAUCAUCAACUCAUAUUUUUCCCCUUAAUUAUGACCACUUGGUCUUUUUAUAGAUCCACUUCAGAGGAUUACAAAUAUAGUACUAUUACUAUAUACUUGACUUUAAGUUGCUUUUUAGAGCAAUUAUUUAAGUUCUUGAUAUCAAGCAGAACAAUCCAUACAUAUUAACGUGAAAUGGACGUAGGUCGUUUCAAUUAGUAUGGACUUUCGCCUCUAUAAUUACCUGGAGGAUCAUAGUUGCAAGAGACAACAUAUCCUCCAUUGUUACACUGAACCCUAGCACAUCCAACACGAACCGAGUUACGCCAAACCACCUGAGUAUAGUGUCCACACACCUGUCCUUGUGCACAAGUAUUUGAGUCAUGGUCAUAAUACUGUUUCUCAUCGACCCACAUCUCAACGGCCUUAGCAGCCGUCAUGAAAUCGCCACUUCCCUCAGCUAGGUUUUCGCCGUAUUGACCAUGAGAAUGUACGAGGUUACAAUCUGCAGCCAAUUGGGAAGCAUAAUUUUGCGCAUAGGCUGCUACCUGGUCGUCCCAGGUCAAAGGUUCUACACCUACAUCUGCACGAGCUGUGUUAUGGGCAUCCAAAUAGUCUUGUUGAGAAUUUUGGGCACGGCAAGAGUGGGAUAUUACUAGGAAUAAGAGAAGUGUAGAGACAAGAAGAAAUGAAGGCAAUUGUGAAAAGAGAACAAAU
RNAcentral lists this long non-coding RNA (743 nucleotides) under Nicotiana tabacum (common tobacco). RNAcentral's name for it is "long non-coding RNA (NTAB_LNC003244)". The record is from RNAcentral. Lineage: Eukaryota; Viridiplantae; Streptophyta; Magnoliopsida; Solanales; Solanaceae.